This 1952-nucleotide ribosomal RNA is filed under the name human gut metagenome. Its description in RNAcentral is "bacterial LSU rRNA". It matches the Rfam family "Bacterial large subunit ribosomal RNA", at positions 3 to 1995 of the family's 2925-position model. The record is from RNAcentral.
UCAAGUGACUAAGUGUAUGUGGUGGAUGCCUUGGCGAUCACAGGCGAAGAAGGACGUAGUAGCUUGCGAUAAGCUGCGGGGAGCCGGCAAACGGGCAUUGAUCCGCAGAUUUCCGAAUGGGGGAACCCACCGACGUAAGUCGGUAUCACACACUGAAUACAUAGGUGUGUGAGGCGAACGGAGCGAACUGAAACAUCUAAGUAGCUCCAGGAAAAGAAAUCAACCGAGAUUGCGAAAGUAGCGGCGAGCGAAAUUGCAGCAGCCCAGUGUUCUGAUAGCACGAACGACAGCAGAAAGGUCUGGAAAGGCCUGCUAUAGAGGGUGAUAGCCCCGUAUGCGAAAUCGGACGUGUGGUACUAAGGGACCGAUAAGUAGGGCGGGACACGUGACAUCCUGUCUGAAGAUGGGGGGACCAUCCUCCAAGGCUAAAUACUCGUGAUCGACCGAUAGUGAACCAGUACUGUGAAGGAAAGGCGAAAAGAACCCCGGGAGGGGAGUGAAAUAGAACCUGAAACCGCAUACAUACAAACAGUAGGAGCCCGUGUAGUCGGGUGACUGCGUACCUUUUGCAUAAUGGGUCAGCGACUUACGUUUUGUGGCGAGCUUAACCGAGUAGGGGAGGCGUAGCGAAAGCGAGUUCGAAUAGAGCGAGAAGUCUCAAGGCGUAGACCCGAAACCAGAUGAGCUAUCCAUGGCCAGGUUGAAGGUGUGGUAACACACACUGGAGGACCGAACCGACUAGUGUUGCAAAAUUAGCGGAUGAGCUGUGGAUAGGGGUGAAAGGCUUAACAAAUCUGGAGAUAGCUGGUUCUCCCCGAAAACUAUUGAGGUAGUGCCUCGUGUAUUGCUCCAGGGGGUAGAGCACUGUUAUGGCUAGGGGGACAUGGCGUCUUACCAAACCAUGGCAAACUCCGAAUACUUGGAAGUAAGAGCACGGGAGACAGAGCACCGGGUGCUAACGUCCGGACUCAAGAGGGAAACAACCCAGACCGCCGUUUAAGGUCCCAAAUAUUGACUAAGUGGAAAACGAAGUGUGAAGGCUAAGACAGUCAGGAAGUUGGCUUAGAAGCAGCCAUCCUUCAAAGAAAGCGUAAUAGCUCACUGAUCGAGUCCUCAUGCGCGGAAGAUGUAACGGGGCUAAGUCAAUAACCGAAAGCGCGGAUUUGCACGAUGAGUGCAAGUGGUAGGGGAGCGUUCUGUAAGCCUGCGAAGGUGGUUCGAGAGGACUGCUGGAGGUAUCAGAAGUGCGAAUGCUGACAUGAGUAACGUUAAAGCGGGUGAAAAGCCCGCUCGCCGUAAGCCCAAGGUUUCCUGCUCUACGUUCAUCGGAGCAGGGUGAGUCGGCCCCUAAGGCCAGGCUGAGAAGCGUAGUCGAUGGGAAGCAGAUUAAUAUUUCUGCACCAUGUGCAAGUGCGAUGGGGGGACGGAGUGCGAAAGAUCAUCCGGGUGUUGGAUGUCCCGGUUUGUGAGUGUAGAAGGCCGACAGGCAAAUCCGUCGGCGGAUCUUCGAGACAAAGCAUCGAGGUUCUACGGAACCGAAGUGAUCGGAAGUGCUUCCAGGAAAAGCCUCUAAGCUCCAGCUUGCAUGUGACCGUACCGUAAACCGACACUGGUGGGCGAGUUGAAUAUACUCAGGCGCUUGAGAGAACUCGGGAGAAGGAACUCGGCAAAUUGACACCGUAACUUCGGGAUAAGGUGUGCCUUUGUAGCGUGAAGAGAGAAACACUCGGAGCGUGAAGAGGCCUCAGAGAAUCGGUGGCUGCAACUGUUUAUUAAAAACACAGCACUCUGCAAAGACGAAAGUCGACGUAUAGGGUGUGAUGCCUGCCCGGUGCUGGAAGAUUAAGUGAUGGGGUGAGAGCUCCUGAUCGAAGUCCCAGUAAACGGCGGCCGUAACUAUAACGGUCCUAAGGUAGCGAAAUUCCUUGUCGGGUAAGUUCCGACCUGCACGA